Non-coding RNA from Acanthosepion pharaonis, 111 nucleotides. The record is from the annotation of a GenBank genome assembly. NCBI's taxonomy places the organism in Eukaryota, Metazoa, Mollusca, Cephalopoda, Sepiida, Sepiidae.
UAUGGUCACAUCACAUUGAAACACUGGUUCCUGUACAAUCACCAAAGUUAAGCAAUAUUGAGCUUGGUCAGUACCUAGAUGAGUGACUACUUGGGAAUACCAGAUGGUGUA